ACAAGGAACAGUGGACGCUGCCUUUAAAGCGUAAAGACCGGGCUCCUCCGCUGCGGAUGAUAGCGUGGUUAUUUUAAGUUUUUCUCCCACUCCACUUCUCCCUAUACUUCCCGCGUAAUUUACCACUACCACUGAGUGAAUAGAUUAAUUUAUACCAAAGGAAUUGCCGGACCUGACGUGGGAAUAGGCUUUGGAAACUUUGGCUUCUCGUGAGGGGAGUAUCGCGGCUGUUGCUCGAGCACGUAACAGGGAGCUAGACGGUUCUCUCUCGCGCUCUCCCAUAUUCAAAACUACCAGAGAGAAUCAGACUCACCAUCAACAAAGGAUAAACUUCAUGAUGAACUUUUAUGGAAAGGGGAAAACUAUUGCAGAUUAAAUUGUUGCCUUUGCCUACAUUGACAUUGUAUGUUUUAACUUGCUCCGAUGCAGGUGCAGUGAGAAUUUGAACUGCCUAUGAUUGAAUUCUGCUCUGCAAUCUGAAAAUUAUUUUUUCAAAGGAACACAGAUAGGUUCAAGCUGUUUUCUUGCAAUUCGUAAUAGAUAGAAAUUGGUUUGCCCCCUUGCAAUACAGAUUGAAACCCACGACUGUCAGUGAGUGUAUGCUACAAUUUUGUUCAAACAUAAAAAGCUAUAGUGUGUAUUUUUAUCCACAGGGGAAACGUUUAAAAUGAAAAAUACGUUGCUGAAUGACUGCGUUAUUGCAUAAGCCUACCGAUAAUUGCAUUUUGUUGGCAUUCUUUACGUCAUGUGUGUGACGGCAAAGCUUUAAAUUGACCCGCUUCACGUAUCGUUCCUUCUGAGCAGUUGGCGCUUGUUGGAUAGCUUGUUCUCGCUCGAGCGCCCGGAGAUUGCCCGGUUUCAGCGGCAACAGCGUUCACGGAGAGAGGACAGUAACAGCAUCCACACCGGCACACAGAGAACUCUGGGAAGACUUUGUCAGCACCACAGCAGUGCAACAUGUAUCCAGUGUGCCUGACACACGCGGCGCAUUUAGUCCGGCUGGGGACAAUGGUUGGGGAUUCGCCUGGAUUGAGGUGGCGUGCCACAUGGAUUUUAUUGUUUUCUCUGUUUGUCCACUACACAACAGCUCAAGGAUGUCGGUGGGCGGAGCCGGGAGGGUCGUCUGCGAAAUGGGACAUACCUGGGCUCGGGUGUGUCCCGGGAUAAAUACACGACUUCCCCAUUCUUCGGGGAGACUCUCUCCAUGCAGACACUGAUAGAUUUUGGUUGUGGCAUUUUUGUGGCCAUUUUGUUUGUUUGCAUUGGCACCUUUCAACACCCCUCAUUAUCACAUUUAUGCACGCAACCACUCACUUACACUACUGAUUACUGACUACACACACCAUUGUUAAUUGUAUUUAGUUUACUUCAGUUAAUAAAUAUAUUUUGUUAUUCCUCA
Long non-coding RNA from Oncorhynchus nerka (sockeye salmon), 1399 nucleotides. RefSeq lists it as uncharacterized. The record is from RefSeq and is a predicted model, not a curated record. Lineage: Eukaryota; Metazoa; Chordata; Actinopteri; Salmoniformes; Salmonidae. The transcript is spliced from 2 exons.